GAAUUUUCCACAAUGGACGAAAGUCUGAUGGAGCAACGCCGCGUGAACGAUGAAGGCCUUCGGGUUGUAAAGUUCUGUUGUCAGGGACGAACAAGUACCGUUCGAAUAGGGCGGUACCUUGACGGUACCUGACGAGAAAGCCACGGCUAACUACGUGCCAGCAGCCGCGGUAAUACGUAGGUGGCAAGCGUUGUCCGGAUUUAUUGGGCGUAAAGCGCGCGCAGGUGGCUAUGUAAGUCUGGUGUUAAAGCCCGGGGCUCAACCCCGGUUCGCAUCGGAAACUGUGUAGCUUGAGUGCAGAAGAGGAAAGCGGUAUUCCACGUGUAGCGGUGAAAUGCGUAGAGAUGUGGAGGAACACCAGUGGCGAAGGCGGCUUUCUGGUCUGUAACUGACGCUGAGGCGCGAAAGCGUGGGGAGCAAACAG
RNAcentral lists this ribosomal RNA (424 nucleotides) under uncultured bacterium. Its description in RNAcentral is "bacterial SSU rRNA". It matches the Rfam family "Bacterial small subunit ribosomal RNA", at positions 359 to 775 of the family's 1533-position model. The record is from RNAcentral.